RNAcentral lists this ribosomal RNA (445 nucleotides) under uncultured bacterium. RNAcentral's name for it is "partial 16S ribosomal RNA". It matches the Rfam family "Bacterial small subunit ribosomal RNA", at positions 354 to 796 of the family's 1533-position model. The record is from RNAcentral.
GUGAGGAAUAUUGGUCAAUGGGUGGGAGCCUGAACCAGCCAAGUCGCGUGAAGGAAGAAGGAUCUAUGGUUCGUAAACUUCUUUUGCAGGGGAAUAAAGUGCGGGACGUGUCCUGUUUUGUAUGUACCCUGAGAAUAAGGAUCGGCUAACUCCGUGCCAGCAGCCGCGGUAAUACGGAGGAUCCGAGCGUUAUCCGGAUUUAUUGGGUUUAAAGGGUGCGUAGGUGGUUUGAUAAGUCAGCGGUGAAAGUUUGCAGCUUAACUGUAAAAAUGCCGUUGAAACUGUCGGACUUGAGUGUAAAUGAGGUAGGCGGAAUGCGUGGUGUAGCGGUGAAAUGCAUAGAUAUCACGCAGAACUCCGAUUGCGAAGGCAGCUUACUAAGCUACAACUGACACUGAAGCACGAAAGCGUGGGGAUCAAACAGGAUUAGAAACCCUUGUAGUCC